RNAcentral lists this ribosomal RNA (497 nucleotides) under uncultured bacterium. RNAcentral's name for it is "partial 16S ribosomal RNA". It matches the Rfam family "Bacterial small subunit ribosomal RNA", at positions 28 to 507 of the family's 1533-position model. The record is from RNAcentral.
GAUGAACGCUGGCGGCGUGCCUAAUACAUGCAAGUCGAGCGAACAGACGAGGAGCUUGCUCCUCUGACGUUAGCGGCGGAUGGGUGAGUAACACGUGGAUAACCUACCUAUAAGACUGGGAUAACUUCGGGAAACCGGAGCUAAUACCGGAUAAUAUAUUGAACCGCAUGGUUCAAUAGUGAAAGACGGUUUUGCUGUCACUUAUAGAUGGAUCCGCGCCGCAUUAGCUAGUUGGUAAGGUAACGGCUUACCAAGGCAACGAUGCGUAGCCGACCUGAGAGGGUGAUCGGCCACACUGGAACUGAGACACGGUCCAGACUACUACGGGAGGCAGCAGUAGGGAAUCUUCCGCAAUGGGCGAAAGCCUGACGGAGCAACGCCGCGUGAGUGAUGAAGGUCUUCGGAUCGUAAAACUCUGUUAUUAGGGAAGAACAAAUGUGUAAGUAACUAUGCACGUCUUGACGGUACCUAAUCAGAAAGCCACGGCUAACUACGUG